CCUCUCUUAGACCUCAUGUAAGGGCUGACCCCCCACUGGGGAAGGGUCUCUGGUUGGAGAUUCCUCUUUUGUGGUGUUUUCUGCGUGAGCCUGGAUCUUCAGAGAUGGCAGCUCUGUUCAGCACAGCUCUGGUGAGCCGGCCUUCCUCCCAAUGGAGACAAGAACAGACAACUUUCUUUGCCUUUGGGCCUGAAUCUCAGCUAUUUGACAGUCGCAAAGUAGUAUUUCCAUGCAAUCUUUGCUGAACCAUAGAGGAUUUUUUUAUUUAAAUAGCAUGAUGUCUUUCAGUUCUGAGAGCUUGAGCUCACCCUGAGCACAGGCCUGCGUGCUGGGAACACUGAUUUUGGGAUUGCCAAAACAAACAACAGGUGUCUGUGUUGUUCUGCAAGUAGGAGUUUCUCAAACGUCAGAUCUGGCACAGGAGAUGCUUCCUUACAACACCAGGCGCCUUACCCCAGGGGCCCCUAGAGCCCUGGGUGGUGUAUUUACGGUAAAGAAGGCAGAGUUGAAAAAUAUGUUGAAAUCACCUUUGAGGAAAAAGCCUUUGAUUUGCCUUCCUAGUGGCUUGCUUAGCUGCAACAUUUAUGCUUUCAACAAUAAUAUGGAUCAGUAUCAGGUUUAAGAACAAUGGGAGCAGACACUCUGUGACUCAGGGCACAAACACAGCCUUUCUCCUGGAGUCUUGGCUCUGGAGAAGUGUGCAUGGGUGUAGCUACACUGAUGUCACUGUACCACCACAAACUCCUGGUCCUGAGGCAUGGUGAGGUUGGAGAAAGCACUUACACAAGUGUAAUUUGUCCCCAUGUGGAGCUGCAGUGAUGUCCAAGUGUUUUGUUGUGGUGGAUGUGAGCUAGACUGAAGUGAGACUGAAUGCUGCAGCCCUUCAAGUGGGACUUCUGUCCUCCAAGGGAUAAAGUUCCAGCUGGCUGCAAUGGAGCCAAGGGACCAUGCCUGGCCCAGCUGCAGCAUGGUGCUGGGCUCCCAGCUGGGCAGUGAAGGACAGAGACUGGCCCUGCUGGGACAAGGAGGGUUGGUUGGGGAUGGGAGAACUGACUGUGGGACUGUGGGGUUCUCAAUGCCAACGGCCUCCAACUGGGCUGCUCCCAGCACUGCUUGCAGAGGGAAGAAAAGAGCUGAUGGUGCUGGAACUGCUCUACGGUGGAACUGAAACAACAGCUUGUGGCGGUCUGAAUCAGUUCCCUUCUUUCAUAUAUUUGACUCAGAGCUGAGUAUUUCAGAGGCUCGGAAAGAGCAGGCUGAUUUCAAUUUUGGUUCUAAUAAUGGGCAAAGGUCACGGCAGCUGGAAAGAGAGGGGAAAUGAAAGGCAUGGGCUCGGCUGUUUUCUCUGAACCAGCUUCACCCGUUCCUGCUUACAGUCUCAGCAGAAUAAUAACUGAUACUAAGCAAAGCCAAGAAAUGAAAUUAACACAUGCAAAAUUACAUUAUGGCCAUGUCAGGAGCCCUGGUGCCAUGCGGUGCUAGCAAGGUCUGGCGCACAGGGCAAGGAGCGAGGAGCAGCUGGGGGCUGGCAGCGCAGCGUCCCACUGCCAUCCCCACACACGUACCC
Long non-coding RNA from Gallus gallus (chicken), 1567 nucleotides. The record is from Ensembl. NCBI's taxonomy places the organism in Eukaryota, Metazoa, Chordata, Aves, Galliformes, Phasianidae.